This 384-nucleotide small RNA is filed under the name Arabidopsis thaliana (thale cress). RNAcentral describes it as "ATSL190180". Lineage: Eukaryota; Viridiplantae; Streptophyta; Magnoliopsida; Brassicales; Brassicaceae. The record is from RNAcentral.
AAAACUAAAAAAAAAAUUAAGGUUACCUAAAGUUAUCAAAUUCAUAUAUAUAACCAUGUUUUAUUUUUAUAAAGGUAUCUUCAAUAGUGAUCUCUAUAUUUUCCUUUAUUUAUAGAUAUGACUCUAUUUUAGAGGCUGCUCCAAUGGUCACAUGUAAAAUAGAAUUUUCUUUAAAAUAGAGGAGAUAUCAUCUCUAUAAAUAAAGAUCUCUACAUUUAGUCUCUAUUUUUUUCCUAUUUUUGAGGAAACUCUAUUUUAAAAGUGACCAUUGGAGCAUCGUGCCUAUAAAAUAGGGUCACUAAAUUUUUGUAAUUAGUUUAAGCUUUAAUGUCGUUGACACAAUAUUAUAUACAAGUGGUAAGUGGACAUGUGUAAGAGAUAUUU